This 1320-nucleotide unclassified non-coding RNA is filed under the name Hevea brasiliensis (rubber tree). Lineage: Eukaryota; Viridiplantae; Streptophyta; Magnoliopsida; Malpighiales; Euphorbiaceae. The record is from RNAcentral.
CCGCGAGGCAAUAAAAUUAGACCAAAAAAACAUAAUUCGUUCAACUCGCUUUAAGAGAUGCCAUGAUUUUCAUAGCAAUAUAUACUGAAGUAAAUAAGGUGAUGUAAAAGACUUAAAACAACAUACUGUACGUUGAUGUUCAACUGGUAGUUUAAAUUAUGCAGAUUAUCUCUAAUUGUUCCGUCAUAAUCUUGCAGAAGCACCAUUAGUCGCAUGAUUAACGAGUUCUCUUCUCAAUAUCUUUCCAGCAGGAGAUUUUGGUAUUGCGUUGAUGAAUGCAACGCGGCGUAUCUUUUUGUAUGGUGAGACCUGUUUUGCAAUGAUAUCUAUAAUUUGUGACUCACUAAUAGUGCUCCCAGGUCUUCUGACUAUGUAAGCCAUAGGAAUCUCCCCUGCUUCUUCAUCAGGAUAUGGAAUAACUGCUGCAUCCGCAACAUCAGGAAUAGACUGAAGUAAAUGUUCAAGCUCGGCAGGGGGGACCUGAUAUGCCUUGUACUUUAUCAGUUCUUUUAACCUAUCGACAACAUAUAGAAACCCAUCCGCGUCAAAAUAGCAGAGAUCACCAGUUUUCAGCCAACCUUCUGGAUCAAGUGUUGCUGAGGUAGCUUGUUUAUCUCCAACAUAGCCUUUCAUGAUUGUUGGAGCACGUAACCAGAGCUCUCCACGCUGUCCAGGAGGCAAGGUCUUUCCACUUUCAGGAUCAACAAUCUUAGCUUCCACAUUCACACCAAGGCGACCAGCAGAUCCGUACUGGUUUGAUUCCUCAGGGCCAUUCAUCCCUGUUGCUCCUCCAGUAGUCUCAGUCAGACCAUAUCCCUGUAAAAUCUCCACGUUAGGAAAUCUGCUCUUGAACCGCUCCGCCACCUCCUUCCCUAGCGGCGCUCCGCCGCAGGCUAGCAGUUGCAGUGAGCUGAGAUCAUACUUCAAUGCCAAAUCCGACUUAGCCAUUGCCACCACCAGUGGCGGCGACACCGGCAUGUACGUAACUCUGUACUUCUCUACCGCUGCUAACAUCUUCUCGAAAUCAAAUCUCGCCGUUAUCACCAUCGCUUCACCCAUACUCGCUAGCCUAAUCAGCAUAAAAAAUCCGAACACGUGAAACAACGGUAACGUCAUGAAAGCCACCGCUUGCUCCGUGAUUUCACUUUCAUUAGCGGCAUCAUCAUUGAAUCUGCUAUAGAACAAACUAGCGAUCAACGCGAUUAAAUUCCUGUGAGUUAACUCUACACCUUUUACUUUCCCCGUAGUUCCAGAUGAGUAGAGAAUCGCUGCCGAAUCGGAUUGGUGAAUGAUCGGGUAAGAGAUGGGAUUAGAAAUAGG